CCUACGGGGGGCUGCAGUGAGGAAUAUUGGUCAAUGGGCGGGAGCCUGAACCAGCCAAGUCGCGUGAGGGAAGACGGUCCUAUGGAUUGUAAACCUCUUUAGGCGGGGAGCAAGGCCGGGCACGCGUGCCCGGAGGGAGAGUACCCGCAGAAGAAGCAUCGGCUAACUCCGUGCCAGCAGCCGCGGUAAUACGGAGGAUGCUAGCGUAAUCCGGAUUUAUUGGGUUUAAAGGGUGCGUAGGCGGAUUUUUAAGUCGGCGGUAAAAUGUCCGGGCUCAACCCGGGCCGGCCGUUGAAACGUGGGAUCUUGAGUGUGCGAGAAGUAUGCGGACUGCGUGUUGUAGCGGUGAACUGCAUAGAUAUCACGAAGAACUCCGAUUGCGAAGGCAGCUUACUACACUGCCACUGACAUUGAUGCUCGACAGUGUGGGUAUCAAACAGGAUUAGAUACCCCAGUAGUC
This 460-nucleotide ribosomal RNA is filed under the name uncultured bacterium. Its description in RNAcentral is "partial 16S ribosomal RNA". It matches the Rfam family "Bacterial small subunit ribosomal RNA", at positions 338 to 795 of the family's 1533-position model. The record is from RNAcentral.